AAACAUGACUUUGAUCUGCGUCCUCAUCUGGACUCUCCUCUGCUGCUGCUUCACAGAGUCCAGAGGACAGAUCACAGUGACUCAGCCUGGAGCAGUGAGCUCUGCUGUGGGACGAUCUGUGAACAUCAACUGUAGGACCAGUCAGAGUGUUUAUGUUGUUAGCAUCUUCCACUAUUUAGCGUGGUACCAACAGAAAGAUGGCAAACCACCCAAACUUCUCAUUUACCGUGCUAGCAGGAGAGAUUCAGGGAUUCCAGCUCGUUUUACAGGCAGUGGAUCAAACUCUGUCUUCACUCUGACCAUCAGUGGAGUCCAGGCUGAAGAUGCAGCAGUUUAUUACUGUCAGAGUUUUCACUAUAUCAACAGUCAAGAUGUGUUCACACAGUGA
This is a non-coding RNA of Archocentrus centrarchus (flier cichlid), 388 nucleotides long. Lineage: Eukaryota; Metazoa; Chordata; Actinopteri; Cichliformes; Cichlidae. The record is from the annotation of a RefSeq genome assembly.